RNAcentral lists this ribosomal RNA (491 nucleotides) under uncultured bacterium. Its description in RNAcentral is "partial 16S ribosomal RNA". It matches the Rfam family "Bacterial small subunit ribosomal RNA", at positions 29 to 507 of the family's 1533-position model. The record is from RNAcentral.
AGUGAACGCUGGCGGUAGGCCUAACGCAUGCAAGUCGAACGGCAGCACAGUAAGAGCUUGCUCUUACGGGUGGCGAGUGGCGGACGGGUGAGGAAUACAUCGGAAUCUACUUUUUCGUGGGGGAUAACGUAGGGAAACUUACGCUAAUACCGCAUACGACCUACGGGUGAAAGCAGGGGAUCUUCGGACCUUGCGCGAUUGAAUGAGCCGAUGUCGGAUUAGCUAGUUGGCGGGUAAAGGCCCACCAAGGCGACGAUCCGUAGCUGGUCUGAGAGGAUGAUCAGCCACACUGGAACUGAGACACGGUCCAGACUCCUACGGGAGGCAGCAGUGGGGAAUAUUGGACAAUGGGCGCAAGCCUGAUCCAGCCAUACCGCGUGGGUGAAGAAGGCCUUCGGGUUGUAAAGCCCUUUUGUUGGGAAAGAAAAGCAGCAGGUUAAUACCCCGCUGUUCUGACGGUACCCAAAGAAUAAGCACCGGCUAACUUCGUG